UUUCUUCUUCCUAAUGACAAACCAGCCGUAGACCCCUGACCUCACCCAAAUGACCCCCGACCUCACCCCAUAUCCACCCUUCAACCAACAUCAAACGAUCGCUCGUUUAUUCUCCAUCUCAGCAACUCACCGGAGGUCCUUUGCCUUUCAGUCGCCGGCCAGCCAUUGAAACUCCAACAAACAUCAUAGCCGCCGCUCACUCCCCCAUCUCUUUCACGCCAACAACCAAAGAGAAACAAACGUUCAGCCAGCAACAACCAAACAGACCCAUUUUUUAACCUUGUAUAUGGCUCCUCACCACUGACUUCACGCCGGACCACCCUAGAACCACCGUCGCUGCCCUAUCUCCUCUCUGACGCCGAUCAGCCCUCUCAGGAACAACCAAGUAACAUUUUUCUUCUAUAAUUUCUCAAUGGGUGAGGAAAGAAGCGGUGUUUAUACGAGUGGUGGUGCCGUUAACAGUAGUAACGUAUUGGGAUGUGCUUUUGGUUUCUUAAUUCGCGGUUUUGUUUGAGGUCAUGAAACUUGGUAUUGUCCGUUGGUUUUGCAGUUCAAAUCCUUGUUUUCGAUUUGAAGUUUCAAUUUGUUCAAAGGUCCGCUUCUGCUUCGCUCAUUUCUCCGAUCAUCAAUCUACUUAGUUCAUGUGCAUGUUUGCUUUGUUUGUCUAAUUUUAACGAAUAUGCAUAUAUCCUAUUAAGUGUUCUCUGUGCUCAAUCUUAAAAUUGAAGUUGCAUGAGAAUAGGGGGAAUCUGUUCCUUUAGAAUCUGUUACUAUAGAUUAAUUUAGUGUUAGUUAUGGUUUGUUUAAUUAAUUUAGUUUGGAUUGAAUCAAUUGAUUUGGUUUCCAUUCAUGACUCUAUAUGUUGUUUAGUCAUAACAAAAUUGUAAUAUGUUUAAAAUUGAUAUAAGUUCUUAAGAAAAGAAAGCAGAUUGCUUUUGGGUCAUAGGAUGGAAUUGCAGGACUGUGAUACUUGGAUAAAUAUUUUCCAUUUUUCUGCAUUUUGAAAACAUAUUUAACAAAGCCAAGGAAGUAGUUUUUUGUUCAUAAAUUGCUUAGCUUAUUUCCUAUACGUGUAGAUUGAUUUUACUGUUAUAAAAAGUUAUUGUUGGCAUGUGGAAGAUUUGAAUCUUUUUGUGAUUAUUUGGUGUCUGGUAUAAGAUGUUUAUGACCCUUGUAACCUUAAUUAAGAAUAGUUUAACUGGAGUGCGCUACUAAUAAUAAUAAGAUAAUGAUUUGUUUAAUACAUAGUGGGGACAAGACAUAUGGUAGUGGGGAAUAAUUUAUUUGUUUAAUAGAAGUGGGGGACAAGACAUAUGAUACUGCGGAACAAUUCAUUUGUUUAAUAGAAGUGGGGGACAUGACAUGUAGUAGUUAGAUUACGGGGCUCAAGAAGAUGAGACUUUUUCUUUAUUUGUUUAAUUGUUUAAAGUGGUCUGUUUUUGGACAUAAAUAAAGAGCAGUUUAGACAGAAUUAGGGCUGGUCUUUGAAAGCUAUAAAAAGUAAGUAGGUUGAGAGUUAAAAAACAAAAGUGAAGUCUUUCUUUCACUUCUGAAAAAUCAGAAUUAGUGCUUAUUCUUGUGGAAUUGAAGUUCCGAGCUCCUUUCUCUGAGUGCCUGAAGAUCACAAAACUAAUGUUCUAUUUUGCUUUUGGUUCACUUUUGCUUCUAUCUUUGAUUGUCAUCGAUAUCUCUGAGGUUUUCAUUUUAGGUUUACCUGAGUUUGCUGUUGGUUUUUAUUAUCACUAUUCACUAGGUAUUGUUGGAUUUUCUGCUUGGCUUUAAAAAUCUGUCACUGGAUUCUCAGUACUGGUUGCUGGUUAUUCCUGGUCUUUAUUGUUGUUGUUACUGUGUAUGCUACUGCUGCACUGAUCACUCCUUUUCUUCUUUUGCUUUCCAAUAUCAGGUACACAACUGAUACACUGACUAUUGUAAGCCGAUAACACGAAGCAUGAAUAUAAAAAUGAAGACUAGAAGUUCAGAAUUCACUUUAGUUUGUCUACUGAUUUGUAUAUAUUACGAUAUUAUUUCACUAGAAUCAUAUAAGUGGUUGUGAUGUACAAUUGGAUAUUUGUGUAGUAAUUUGAUCGAUAAACUCUCCAUGUUUGCGUAGUUAAAAAAAAGGGUUGAUGGUGUAGUUAAUAAUGCGCUGUUUAUUUCAGUUUGGUUGUUAGUUACAAGUUGCCUGUCU
Molecule: long non-coding RNA, 2188 nt
Filed under: Nicotiana benthamiana
Lineage: Eukaryota; Viridiplantae; Streptophyta; Magnoliopsida; Solanales; Solanaceae
Description: long non-coding RNA (NBEN_LNC015637)
Source: RNAcentral